AUUGAACGCUGGCGGCAGGCCUAACACAUGCAAGUCGAGCGGAUGAAGGGAGCUUGCUCCUGGAUUCAGCGGCGGACGGGUGAGUAAUGCCUAGGAAUCUGCCUGGUAGUGGGGGAUAACGUCCGGAAACGGGCGCUAAUACCGCAUACGUCCUGAGGGAGAAAGUGGGGGAUCUUCGGACCUCACGCUAUCAGAUGAGCCUAGGUGGGAUUAGCUAGUUGGUGGGGUAAAGGCCUACCAAGGCGACGAUCCGUAACUGGUCUGAGAGGAUGAUCAGUCACACUGGAACUGAGACACGGUCCAGACUCCUAAGGGAGGCAGCAGUGGGGAAUAUUGGACAAUGGGCGAAAGCCUGAUCCAGCCAUGCCGCGUGUGUGAAGAAGGUCUUCGGAUUGUAAAGCACUUUAAGUGGGGAGGAAGGGCAGUAAGUUAAUACCUUGCUGUUUUGACGUUACCAACAGAAUAAGCACCGGCUAACUUCGUG
This 484-nucleotide ribosomal RNA is filed under the name uncultured bacterium. Its description in RNAcentral is "partial 16S ribosomal RNA". It matches the Rfam family "Bacterial small subunit ribosomal RNA", at positions 30 to 507 of the family's 1533-position model. The record is from RNAcentral.